CUUUCACUCUUUUCUGCUCCAGUCCCCUCCCCAUCACUUCUUAAAGUGCUGAGAUUUUGGUGCAGCCGCCAUAUUUCUUCUUUUCCUGAGAUAGAAGCUGGGUGACAACAGAUAUCUCCACCCCUGUGGUCCUUUCUGGAACACCUUCCAACUACUGACACUUCAUGGCGCAUUUCUAAAAAAAAAAAAAAAAAAAAAAAAGAAGAACCAAAGUCGACCAAAAUACGAACUCUAAACGUCCUCCUAGCAGGUUCUUGACAGCUCCCUAUUUUUCAGGUAUUUGGGAUAGGUUUAGGCCACUUGCCAUUUGAAAGGAAUUUUUUUGGGCAAUGAUUUUUGGUUGAGGCCUGUUUUUUUGUGGUUCAGGUUUUUUUUUCCCUUCACUUUUCUAUAUUUUGCCCAUCAGGGCUGUGAAUGCCUGGUUUUAUUUAUUUUCUUAAUUUGCCCAUCGGGGCCACGGAUACCUGCUUUUAAUUUUUUUUCCCCUUAAGCCCAUCGGGGCCCCGGAUACCUGCUGUGUUCCCCCCCCACCCCCCAAAACUCUGGCCCAUCGGGGCAAUGGAUGUCAGCUAUUUUUUUUUUAAAUAAUUUUUUGGCCCAUCGGGGCCUAGGAUACCUGCUCUAUUUUUUUUUCCUUGCCCAUCGGGGCCGCGGAUACCUGCUUAGAUUUUUUUCUCUUGCCCAUCGGGGCCACGGAUACCUGCUUAGAUUUUUUUUUUUCAUUCGCCCAUGGGGUCUUUUAAUGCAUCGAAAAGUGGUUCUCUGUGGUUCCUUAUACUACCUGGAAUAUCUACAAAUUUUUGCUGCUAAUCAUUUGGUGUUGUUGUCUAAAACGGCGGAUCCAGUUUUAUCGGGAGUGUUCAAGUGGAGAGAAGGCCACAUUCAUGUUGGUAAUAAUUGUUCUCGUGCACAGUUUGGUGGUAGAAAUAUUCUGUUACAUGGUAUAAGAUGGCGGCUCAAGUAUGCUGCUAUGUAAAAUAUGGCGGUUUUUGUCGUUGCCCCACGCAUUUCCUGACAGGUUUUGCUACAGGCAGAAUAUGCAGGCCUUGUCAGGUGGAUAUGUCAGUUUGUCACAUGGACGUACUGGCUGGUGGGUUUUUGCCCAGCACUUUCUUGGCGGGUUCCGCCCCAGGUAUUUGCCACUUUGUUCAAGAUGGCGGGCGUUUGCUCGUUUGCCGAAAAAAAAGUGGGACGGUCAGUGUUGGAUUGCCGUGUGACCCACCCAAUCAGACAGGGUGGUAGAAUUGGAUACAGCCGAUCAGUGGACGGUGGAAUUGUACCGAGUUAGCAUGGUGCCUCACUGCCCUCUUGAUUCAGCCAAUCAGAAAAACGAAGCAGAAGGAACCACAUUCAUGUCACCUCCCAGUGGGUGGUACCCCAGGUCUUUAAUCGGUCAUUUGGCCAUACCGUCUCCAUCCCCUUUUACCGGCUCCCUCCCCUCCAGCGUUGCCUCGUGCAGUGCUGGGUAUUUGGUAGUGUGAGCUGAACCACACACCGUUCCUCUGCAUUGGUGCCCUAACCUAUGGCAGUCAUUUCCCAGUUGGCCACUGCUCUUCCACGUUGGCCAGACGCGUGCUCCAUGCGUGCCAAGUGUGAAAAUGGCGGUGAAACUUGGCAAGGACCAAAAUGGAUCCCACAUGAUCGUUGGCCAACAGGUGGCAGAAGAGGAACCCCUGGCUUUACUCAAGAGGAACACCUACCCCGUGGCUAAUGCUGGGGUUUGACUGAUUUCUAUUUAUUUUUGGAUGUCAGUCAUAAGUAAUAGUUUGAUUAUGUGGUUUGCUAGUGUUAGACUUGAGCAUUAAAUGACUAGUACGAAAAUGUA
Hipposideros armiger (great roundleaf bat) is the source of this 1825-nucleotide long non-coding RNA. RefSeq lists it as uncharacterized. The transcript has 2 exons. The record is from RefSeq and is a predicted model, not a curated record. NCBI's taxonomy places the organism in Eukaryota, Metazoa, Chordata, Mammalia, Chiroptera, Hipposideridae.